UAACCUUUAGAGCCCCUCAUUCUAAUAGUCUAUUAAAAAAGAAAUUUUGGGAGUGGGGGGCUAAUGCCAGAUCCCCAGAUGCACUCGGCUAUACGCACCCGACAUGCGUUUAAAUGUCCUUCCUUUAGAUCUCUUAUGAGUUAAAUAUGACUCACUUUCAGCCCCCACCCCUUUUGGUUUUACUAGCUGUGUUUGGCUUUACUGCUUUUUCAUGUUCAAAUUGCAUGUCCCGUCAGGAGACUUGUGACAUUUGAAAUACGACGCCGGGCCGUAUUUACUGAGCUAGACAAUACACGAAAGCCACAUGAAAAUCAAAAUAAGUCGGAUGCGGUUAAGAGCCGUGCCCUCAUUUAUUGAAUUCCCCACAGAUGUUUUGCAUGAAGACAUUUUUGGGGGGUAAUGAGGAGGGGAGCGUGUUUGGACGUAAGUUGAACCUGGGUGCCUUUCUUUUUCUUGACUGUGUGUGUGUGUGUGUAUGUGUUAUGUGAUUCAGGAGCGUCGGCGGCCCAGGCACGGAAGAGGCUUGAACGCGUGCAGCUGCUGCAUUAAGUUUUCCCCAUCAAAGCGUGGGGUGAUGAAUUGAUGGUCAUUUGUGGUCAUGCUUGCCUUCAUGGCUCCCUUUGAGGCUCCUCAGCACUCCUCCGUCCGAACAGAUCCCGGCGGAGCAACCCGAUAUCACGCCGGCGAGAUGACCAAGUUCAGGGCCCGCCCGUCGCCGCCUCCUCCCGCCGCCGGCCGGCCGGCCAGUCGGCCGCGGGAUCAAUGGAAUACCGUCGGGAUACGCGGCGGGCCGCGCCCACGCGCUCGCCAAUGAACCGUAUGAUUGGACGUCGUCGACCACCGCCGAGGCUUUCAUGCAAAUUGAUGAAGGUCCAGUCUUUCCCGUCCUGAUCCCUUCCUCCCAGCGGAGGUGUGAGAUGGGAAGCGCAGCCCCGGCCGGCCGGCCGCCGCCCGUUCCACACGGCUGCGUCCCAAAGAGCAGUGGCAAGACACAACUCGAAUUAUGAUUUCUUGGGUACCUGGAGCUGGAAAGCAAAGCGUGUCGAGUCUCUGUGGCCGAUGCAGUCAAGACACUCUGAUGAAGGCGGAAGUGAUAGCCGAAACACGUCAGGAGACCCGGGCGACGUUCCAUUUGCGAGCGUGUCGAGCCAGAGUGACGUUAAUGGCGGCGGAGAGGAACAAACACAUCAGAGCGGCGGGUGGAAAAGAGGACGCCCAUGUGAGCAAUGAGGAGAGAUGGAUGGAGGAGAUGAUGGUGGGAGGGGCAGGGGCGGCCAAGGCGCCUCGCCUCGCAUUGCCCCAGAAAAGAGGAGGAGGAAGCCAUGUGUGAAGAAAACAGCCAGCCGAGCAGCCCCCGGGCCUCCUCAGCAUCAGAUGUCAGCCUCCCGGAGUCAAAAUAUUCUUCCAAAGAUGUUCCUCUUCAGCUCUCGUGAGAAACGGCACUAAACGAGCUCGAGUGAGAAUCAUGAGGCGUACACGGAACAACCAUCACAUCGGUCUACAAAAAAAAAAAAAAAGCCCUGCUGUGUCCUUUAACGGCUUAUUACGGUGUGCCAUUCAGCAGCUCCCAAAGCUACGUCAUCAACUUGUUUGUUGCCCCCUUCAGAAGUGCACGGGGUGUCACCAAGGAGGAGAGAAAGCGAGACA
This is a long non-coding RNA of Syngnathus acus (greater pipefish), 1647 nucleotides long. RefSeq lists it as uncharacterized. The record is from RefSeq and is a predicted model, not a curated record. Lineage: Eukaryota; Metazoa; Chordata; Actinopteri; Syngnathiformes; Syngnathidae. The transcript has 9 exons.